GCAUUCUUAGCUCAGUUGGAUAGAGCUACAACCUUCUAAGUUGAAGGUCACAGGUUCGAACCCUGUAGAGUGCA
This 74-nucleotide transfer RNA is filed under the name Zygnema circumcarinatum. RNAcentral's name for it is "tRNA-Arg". It matches the Rfam family "tRNA". From Rfam's summary of the family: Transfer RNA (tRNA) molecules are approximately 80 nucleotides in length. Their secondary structure includes four short double-helical elements and three loops (D, anti-codon, and T loops). Further hydrogen bonds mediate the characteristic L-shaped molecular structure. tRNAs have two regions of fundamental functional importance: the anti-codon, which is responsible for specific mRNA codon recognition, and the 3' end, to which the tRNAs corresponding amino acid is attached (by aminoacyl-tRNA synthetases). tRNAs cope with the degeneracy of the genetic code in two manners: having more than one tRNA (with a specific anti-codon) for a particular amino acid; and 'wobble' base-pairing, i.e. permitting non-standard base-pairing at the 3rd anti-codon position. The record is from RNAcentral. Lineage: Eukaryota; Viridiplantae; Streptophyta; Zygnematophyceae; Zygnematales; Zygnemataceae.